RNAcentral lists this long non-coding RNA (1010 nucleotides) under Helianthus annuus (common sunflower). Its description in RNAcentral is "hypothetical non coding rna". The record is from RNAcentral. Lineage: Eukaryota; Viridiplantae; Streptophyta; Magnoliopsida; Asterales; Asteraceae.
UUUUCAGGAAAAAAUUGUUUCCUUUAAAAUAUUUAAAAUAUAUAGCAUGUGUAUUUUUUGAUUAUGAAUACCUCUUUCCUCGAACAAAAUACCCGUUAAACUAUAAAAUUUGUCCCUAAUUUGUAUUUGUGUAAAACUCUCAUCAUUGUCACAAAUAUCAUACAUGUCAACUUAUAAACCCUAAAAGACUUCCACAUCUUGUAGUUUUAUAGUUACCUCUCCAAAGGGUAUAUGAAAUGUGUUCGUUUCAUGCCAACAUCUUUUUAGUUAGGCGGAUAUCAAUGCACUAUCAAACCUCCGAUUAUCACACAUAAUAACUCCAGCAAAACUACCCAAAGUUAUGUAUUUAAUAACUUUGGGUGGAAUGGGGUUUUGGCGAAUAAACCUUCAAAGCUUUUCGUUACCUCUUCUAACUCGUAAUAACCCGUUAUCUUUUAAUUUUGUAGGACCCGAAAAAAACUAAUCAACUUUGUACCUCGUUCCGCUAAGAAACAAUAGUUGUUUGUUCAGGGGACCACCAGUGUAACAAAACACCGUUAGAAAUGGCGACUUUAAGUGUAUAUUUUUUUUAAAGUAGUGAACAGGGAAGCAAGAAAAUAACUCUUGGGUUGGGGGUCUUUUUCACAAAUGGUCCCCCGUUAGAAAACAAGUACUCGUGAUGUUAUUAUACCAGAUUCAAAAAACUAAAAGAAAAGUCCAAAGGGAAAAUUGCCAUUUCAAAUGGCAAUAUGGUAGUAAAUCGCCAUUCCUAAUGGCUAUGUAGCAUUAAUUCGCCUUUCCUAAUGGCUAUGUAGUAGGAAAUCGCCAUUUGAAACGACUUUGUUGAAGAAAUCAUCAUUUUAAAUGGCUAUGUGGCAGAAUCGCCAUUUUAAAAGGCUAAUUUUAUUUAAAUUGUUAUUCCUAUUGGCGAUUUCGCAGGAAUUAUUACCUACUCCAAUCAUAUAUCUUUACAUUCCCUGAAUUAUUCCUUACAAGACCUAUGAAAUUUUUUUUCAAAAACUGAAGUAGUU